CGGCCCAGAGAAGUAAGCGACGAAAUGUUUUGGGGAGUUAAAAAAAUAAGCAUAGGUCCAGGAAUUCCCGAUAUAGAUUAACCUUUCAAAUUACUGCUGAAUCCAUGGGUAGGCAAGAUACAACCUGGUGAACUGAAACAUCUUAAUAACCAGAGGAAAAGAAAGCAACAACGAUUCCCGUAGUAGCGACGAGAGAAAGGAGA
Cajanus cajan (pigeon pea) is the source of this 203-nucleotide ribosomal RNA. It matches the Rfam family "Archaeal large subunit ribosomal RNA", at positions 53 to 244 of the family's 2987-position model. NCBI's taxonomy places the organism in Eukaryota, Viridiplantae, Streptophyta, Magnoliopsida, Fabales, Fabaceae. The record is from Rfam.